RNAcentral lists this unclassified non-coding RNA (355 nucleotides) under soil metagenome. Its description in RNAcentral is "partial contains 5.8S ribosomal RNA, internal transcribed spacer 2, and large subunit ribosomal RNA". The stretch from base 1 to 120 matches the Rfam family "5.8S ribosomal RNA", at positions 35 to 154 of the family's 154-position model. The record is from RNAcentral.
GAUGAAGAACGCAGCAAAAUGCGAUAAGUAGUGUGAAUUGCAGAAUUCAGUGAAUCAUCGAAUCUUUGAACGCACAUUGCGCCCCUUGGUAUUCCAUGGGGCAUGCCUGUUCGAGCGUCAUUGACACCCUCAAGCUCUGCUUGGUGUUGGGCCGUUGUCGUUUCCUCGCCCCGCCCGGCGACACAGCGACACCCCUCAAAGUCAUUGGCGGCUUUCCUGCCCAGCUUUCCCGCGCAGCAGUUCGCGCUUCGGAGACCACUUGGCAGGUUGGCAUCCAUCAAGCUGACCCCUCACGCUUGACCUCGGAUCAGGUAGGGACUACCCGCUGAACUUAAGAAUAUCAAUAAGCGGAGGA